UAGACUUCUGGCAAGUUUAUACUUUUGUGAAAAUUAGAAAGAUUUUUUUCCAUUACAUUUUUUACCUGGUUAUUGCUGGAUUGGAAGAGUCACAAAAUUCCACGCACACAACUUGGAUGUAAACAAAAAAUACAGCACACAUAAUCUGGUCUUUUUCUGAAUUCCACGUCCAAAAUUUGGCAGAAAAAAAAAAGUGUUCAAUCUCCUGUGAAUCUACUCUGAUCUGCUAUACUAAAAAAUACUUAGUCUUUUUGUGCUGCAUUUUUCCCCCCUUCCCCAUUAUCUCCUCCUAAGCCUUGCCUGGGAAUUGCAAGCCCACCAGAGAUCCUAUUCUGUCACUAAGCAAAAUCUGAUUUACAAUUUUGGCUGAGGAGAGGGAACAUAUUAAAACAUAUCAACAAUUUUAGAAUCAAUAUUAUUAAAUUUCAUGUAGGUUUUAGAAAUGUUUUACUUGUAUACUUUAGACUUCAUUUUAUAAAAUUACAUUUUUAAAACUUUUUACAUUUUUAGGAAAUACAUGUUAGCUAAAAAACUGUGUUUUGCUCCCUGCUACGUUUGCUUAUCCUAUCCUUCAUUACUCCUUGGAUUUUAGUCUAACUGGUCUUGGGACAUGCCUCUUCCCCACAAACACCCCCACCACCAUACCACAUUGCUGUGACACAUUUAGCUUGUUAAUGUGGUAAGAGUGGAGCUCACUUACAGAAUUUUUGCAGACUAGACCUUAGGCUACAGGUCUUUACCAUGGAGCAGAAAAGUGGUAUCUCAAACCUCAUCCACAAAGGUUGAUCUAGUCCAAGCCCCUCUCCAGGUUCAUGUCCAUGUACAGCUUUGUUCUUAUUGUAACAACCUACAUUUUAGAAUAGGCAACGAAGACCAUUACCAAGAGCAGUAGGAGGGGCAACCUUCGGCUGUUUGUUUUUCAGGAUCUCAACUUGUGAACUUACUCUUCUCUUCACAGAAUGGGAUAACUGCCUGGCACUCACCAAGCUACACUUGAAGAGGAUCAAUCCAUGUCAUCAUGUCCCCAAUUUCAUAGCACCAAGUAUUUUGUUUAUUCACAAAUGCCCUAUUAUGGACAUCUAGCAAACAAUGAUACAUCAGAAAAGGAGAUGUGCAUAAAUUUUCAUGGAAUAAGGUAUAAAGCCCAACUCUCAAUACAUACUAAUCAUAACAGGAGUCUAAGAAAUAUUCUGAAAUAAAUGGGAAUGCAGAAUGUGUCAGGCCUCUGAGCCCAAGCUAAGCCAUCAUAUCCCCUGUGACCAGCACGUACACAUCCAGAUGGCCGGUUCCUGCCUGGAUGCGCAUGAAAGAAUGUGCCACAGAAAAUGAGACACAUCAAUGAGGCCUAGACAGGCAACUUAUGCCAUUGUGAGAUACAAAAUAGUUCAUAUAACAUAGCAAGGGGAUAUCAUUCUAGAAUUAAACUCAUGUUACAGAAAUUUCAUCACGAAGACAGUGUACCAACAGUAUACCCCCCUGCCCCCUGCUGACAUAGUGAAGACUUGUGGGAAGUAUCAGAAAGAGAACUGGAAUUAAGGAGGAAAAUCAAGAUUUAUGUUUCUUAUCGCCAAUUUUUAAUUUUCAUUUGUAGGUUGUGGAAAAUGCACUAGAAUCAACAAACAUGGGGACUAAUUCAACUCGGAUAUCAUGUCUUCAGAGAAGUUUCUCCUGCCCUCCUCUCCCUGUAGAAUUAAGUAUUCUUCCACUGUGCCACCCUCUAACUUGUGCUCAUAUCUUCCUCUAUUGUAGUUAUGUGUUCACAUCCCUGUUGUUUUUGUACCGGCUUCUCCCAAAGGGAGACAUUUAGUCUUAUUCUUCUUGGUAACUUUAGCACAGACCUGGCAGAUUGUUGACACUCAACAAAUGUUUAUUGACUCAAAUGCAUUCAGUUGAACAUUGACCUUUGAUCAACUCUGGGAAAAGUCUGCAAAGCUAGUUAGGACAUUCAGAAAUUCAUUUCAUUUCAAUCCUAACUAAAUAAAUUAUUGAAGUCUCAGAACUUCUCAGUACUUGAUUUAGACACAUAGAAACUUGGGUAAAUAACACCUAUAUUGUUAUAUUCCUCAAGAAAAAGUUUAUCUUUUCAUGAAAUGAAUCUACUGAGGAUAUUUAUAGAAACUGAAUGUAAGUGAGCAGAAUAAAGUGGUGUGUGUGUGUGUGUGUGUGUGUGUGUAUGUAAUUUGAAGAGUAGGUGGGAGAAGGUUGUGAUAGGAUAGCAGAUCUUGUUUAUGAUAGUCACCAGCUAUAACAGACACUGCCUGAUGCCUUUCCAAUAUCCACUUCCCUUUUCUUUUUUUUCUUUUUGGAACAGAGUCUCACUCUGUCCCCCAGGCUGGAGUGCAACAGCACGAUCUCGGCUUACUGCAUCCUCUGCCUCCUGGGUUCAAGCAAUUCUCAUGCCUCAGCCUCCCUAGUAGCUGGGAUUACAGGCUCUCGCCACCACGCCCAGCUAAUUUUUGUGUUUUUAGUAGAGACGGGGUUUCGCCAUGUUGGCCAGGCUAGUCUUGAACUCCUGACCUCAGGUGAUCCACCUGCCUCAGCCUCUCUAAGUGCUGGGAUUACAGGCGUGAGCCACCGUGCCUGGCUCUCUUUUCUUACUUAAUGUCUGUGUCAAUUAAAUAGAAAUGUAUCAAGUUAAAAACCUUGCCUCGGUAGCUUCCAGUGCAAAUAAAGGUACCCAUGCCACCCCAUUCUGGCCAGCAGUAAAAUUGAUGGAAGCCUCUGGUUGGGGCUUCAAGGAAAGCUUUAUCAAAAGAUAAACUCACUGGCUUUGUCCCUUAGUUCAGUGGUCCCCAACCUUUUUGGCACCAAGAGACCAGUUUUGUGGAAGACAAUUUUUUCCAUGGACCAGGAGGGUUCCGGGGGAUGGUUUUGGGAUGAAAAUGUUUCACCUUAGAUAUCAUCGGGCAUUCAAUUCUCAUAAGGAGCCUGCAACCUAGACCUCUCACAUGUGCAGUUCACAAUAGGGUUCAUGCUCCUAUGAGAAUCUAAUGCCACUGCUGAUCUGACAGGAGGCAGAGCUCAGGCAGUAAUGCUCACUAGUUCCGUUGCUCGCCUCCUGCUGUGCAGCCCAGUUCCUAACAGGACACAGACCAGUACUGGUUCGCAACCCAGGGUUUGGGGGCCCCUGUCUUAGUUCCUUUGCCUUCCUUCCAGAUGGAUGCCUGGAGGAACAAUCAUCCCGCAAUUGUGAAAAUUGAAGCCAUAUUUUAAAGUUGGUUUCAAUUGUAAUACAGAAGAAAUCUGGACCUUGAUGACAUUUGAGCUAGAGUACUAAUCUUGAUCUUCCUAUUCAUGAGCUUGUUGCAAGAGACAAGACUUUUACUGAUUUAACUCAUUGUUGGGAUUUCUUGGAACUAAACACAGUCAUAAUACAUUUUUUCCUUCCCAGGAAAAUGGUAGAGCAUGACUUUUCAAAUCUAAUAAAACUCAUGUGUAGCUAAAACCACUCUACUGAAACAAUUCCAUCUCAGCCCAUGGUACAAGGGAUUUUCCUGAAUGAAAAAUGGUGUCUGAUCAUUUUGUUGGUUUCUUUGUUGGUUUUUCCUGAAACUUAGGGUUAAAGAAUCCAGGAAAGUUGUCUUAGAUAGAGUUAUAAUUUCCGUGGACAUCAACUGAUAAAUGCAAUUACAGUUUGUAUGCCUAGGUUUGGCAAAAAUCAUAUAAGCAACAUCCCUCACAUAAUAUUGUUUUAAUUAAAUUUUAUUUCUUUCUUGGUAUGAAACAUACUGCAGAAGCACAAUCAAUGAACAUUGGAUAGUUUCCUUAAAUCUUGCUCUUUGUCCUAUUUAUAUAAUUUAUUGUGUCAGUGGUUCUCAAGUGGUAUGCUCCUGCAACUCAUCAUCUGAAAAUCCUUCCCAGAUGUGCUGAAAAAUUUUCAUUAAUUUGUAUAUUCUAUUUUAUUUUUAUAACUAAGUACACAUGCUUGUGACUGGAAGAGAAGACACCCCUCAUUUAAUCCCAGAGGAAUAUUUGGCCUUGAUUCAUGCCCUGCUCACUCCACCCCAUUAUUAAGAUAGAGAUCGCUGAAGAAAUCCCUGCUCUAUAAAUGUAGCUGAUCCAAAAACAAAAUGGAAAUUCAUUAUUUUAAAUAUUUCUACAAGAUCUUUGUACAACUCUAUUUUUUUUUCCUAUUAAGAAUUACAUGAUUCUAGAAUAAGUUCCAACCCUAAGUAUCAACACUGGAACACAAUUUUAAAACAGGAGGCGAUUAUCUCUAUAGUGAGAUUUAACUACAGAGGUGAUAGCUCUGGUUAGUGAAUUUCAGGACUAGAAAUCAGGCCUGCUGUCUCUUAGCUUAGAGGAGGUAUAAUAAGAAGAGGAUUAGAACUACUGUGUAUAUUAACAAGAAGAACUCUAUUAUGUUCAGCUAUCAUUAUAUAUGAUAUUAUGUUUCUUUUUAUGAACUAUAGUUCACUGUCUUUAAGCAUAAUGUUUGCCCAAGGUGGGGGUGUUGGUGUGUGUCUGUGUGUAUAUGCAUGUGUGCACAUGUGUGUAUGUAUAGUUGAUUCAUUCAUUCUGACCUACUGAAUUUACUGAAGGAAUAAGAAGAAAUACCUUGAACUGAGGGACCUGGCUUAGCUCAACAUCUGUACCAUCUACCUUUGAGUAUCCAUUCCUUUACUAUGAAGCAUGGAUGCUAAAACUAAAAUUGCAUUUGCUAAACUACUUUGUAGCUAGAUUCCUGGGUGAGAUUAGAUUUGGUCAAUUAGAUGUUCUUGUGUAACAUUUAGAAGGUGAUAGUAAGGCAAAGGUCAUGUGACUGGCUGAUUUUAUUUAUGUUCAAUGAUCUUUAUUGGGGUACACUUUAUAUAUAAUAAUAAAUAAUGCACACAUUUUAAGUGUACAAUUUGAUGAGUUCUGACAAAUUUAUAUGCAUGUAUAACCAGCAUCAAUAUCAAGAUAUAUAAUGAUCCCCUCAUUCCAGAAUAGUCUCUUGUGUUCUUUCCAGCCAAUGCCCCACCCCUGGAUUCUGGCAACAAUUGAUCUGCUUUUUAUUACCAUGGAUUAUAUUUGUCUUUCCUAGAGAUACAAAUAAAUGAAAUAAUGUAGUGUGUCCUCUUUAACUUUGGCUUAUUUCUCUCGGCACACUAUUUCUGAAAUUUGUCCAUACUGUUGAUAUGGCAGACAGAAUUUUAAGAUGGUUCCUAAAAUUCUUGCCUCCUGGUAUGUAUAAUUUUCUCUCGGUUUUCCGCUGAACACUAACCUAGGUGCUAUUGUAAAGGGAUUUCUCAAGUGUAAUUAAAGUCCCUAAUAAGUUUAUUUUAAGUUAGAAAAAUUUUCCCAGGUGAGCUUGAGCUAAGUGAGUGACCUAAGCAGGUGAGUUGUUAGAAAAAAAUUAAGAGAUAUUUGAAGCGUAGACAAAAUUCUGUUGGCUUUUAAAAGAAAACUUCCAUGUGAUAGAGAAAGCCAGAUGAUAGGGAACACAAGGUUACCUCUAAAUUGACAACCAGCAAAAAAGCUGAGACUUCAGUCUUAUCAUCAUAAGGAAUUGAAUUCUGUCAACAGCCACGUGACCUUAGAGGAGGCCCCUGAGCCGCAGAUGAGAUCAUGGCCCUGGCCAAUACCUUAAAUUCAUCCUGGUGAGAUAUGAGCAGAGAACUCAGCUAUGCCAUGCUCAGAUUUCUCACCUGUAGAGCAGUAAAUUAAUAAGUGAGCAUUAUUUGAAGCUGCUAAGUUUGUGGUGAUUUGUUACACAUCAAGAGAAAACAUAUGCUGUAUAUAUUAUUAGAUUUUUCCUUUAUAUUGGUGGGUGUAUUUGUUAUCUAUUACUUCCUAACAAAUCGACAAUAAUUAAGUGUCUUAAGACAACACAUAUUUAUUACCUCAUAGUUUCUGUGGGUCAGAAAUCUGGGCAUGGUUUAUGUGAGUUCUUUGAUUUAAAGUUGUUGGCAAAUCUGUAAACAAGGAAGCAGUCAGGACCGAGGUCUCAUCUGAAAGUCAACUUGGGAUGGGUCUGCUUCCAGCCUCACUUAACAUAACAGCUGGCAGGAUUCAGUUGCUCUUGGGUAGUUGGAUUGAUGGCCUCAGAUAACUAGGUAGCUAUUAGCUAGAUUUCACCCUCAGUUUGUUGCCGUGUGGGCCUCCCUAAGGUGGCAAUUUACUUCAUCAAAACCAGCAAGGGAGAGAGUUGGCUACAAUCUCUAGUAAUGUAGCUACAGAAAUGACAUCCCCUUAGCAAUGAGAUAUUUUAUUAAUUAGAAAGAAAUUACUCAACAGGAGGGGAUUACACAAUGUAGUGAAUACCAGGAGGCUGAGAUCAGAAGGAGCUAGUGUAGAAGCUGCCUACCACAGUGAGUAGUAUUCUAUUACAUGAAUAUACCAGAAUGUCUGAAUCCACCCAACUGGGCAUAGACGUUUGUGUUCAUUCAAGAUACAGACUAUUAUUAUUUUAAAAAUAAAAGUUACUAUGAACAUUUAAGUAUAAGCUUUUGUGUGGGCGUGUUUCAUUUGUUUUGAAUGAAAUUGCAGGGUCGCAUAGAAAAUGCAUAUUUAAUCUUAUAAGAAGCUGCUUAAAAUGCUUUGCAAUGUGAUUUUACCAUUUUACACUCCCAACAAUGUAUAGCAAUAUAUCAUAGAUCUAGUGGUUUCAUAUCUCCACAAACACUUGAUAUUGUCACUCAGUUUAAUUGUAGCUACUUAAAUAGGCUUAUAAUGGUACUCGUUAUGAUUUUAAUAUGCAUUUCCCUAAUGCCUAUUAGGGACUAAUUAUGUUAAGCAUCUUUUCAUGUAUUUGGAGGCCAUUUGUGUACCUUCAUUUGUAAAAUAUCUGUUUAAGUAGCUUGCCCAUUUGGAUUGCUUUACAUUUUAUUAUAGAGUCAUAAGCAUCCUUUAUAUAUUCUGAAUAUAACUCUUUU
RNAcentral lists this long non-coding RNA (6857 nucleotides) under Homo sapiens (human). RNAcentral describes it as "non-protein coding MIR99AHG:104". The record is from RNAcentral. Lineage: Eukaryota; Metazoa; Chordata; Mammalia; Primates; Hominidae.